UUGACAGAUUUCUCAUGUAAAUACACACUCCCUCCCCCCAGAUACCACUGUAUUGAGACCUUAUCUCCUUAGGACUGGUGUAAGUGCACUAGUUGUUCAGCAGCACCAGUUGAUAAGGUUUAAUAUAAAUAAAUCUUGAAGUCUUAUAGCUGCAGGCUGCAUUCCUGUCCUACAGAAGUUUCAGCCACUGUUCUUUCUGAAGGGGAAAAUGUCAUUUUAAGUUUGGUUUGGUUUGGGGGUUUUUUCUGGGUUCCUGGCACACCUGGAAUGUCUUUCACAGUGUCUAGCAAAGUUUAGGUCUUCAAAACUUGGAGACUUAAGUGUACUUACAUGUCAUGAAAAUACCUCUCCUCAGUUAGACAGAAGAUUCCUUUUCCAAGGCAGUAGUUUGAUGCCAGUGUGGUGAUGUUCUCUCCACAGGGUGUCUUCAAUAUGUUGACAGGAAAAUAUUUCGGACGUCUCAGCACUGCCUCAUUUGACAAAUGAAAAAUACCUCUUCAAGUAUCUCCUUCUGCACCUAACAGAGACUGCCUGAAUGUUUCCAACCUCAGUGCAAAGGGGCCAUCAGGCUUCUGUGUAUUCUACCAUCACAUGCUUCAAAAAUGAUAGUAGUGCAAGAGAAGUAAUGCCCUGAAAAGAACCAUCUUAAUGUGGCAUUGUUUCAGACUUAAUGAGUGAAGAAAUGGUUUUGUUUAGCUCUGGAGGUAUAUUGGCACAUAAAGCUGUAUAAACAGAGCAUCACCUUUUAAAAGAUCAAAGUUUUGCUUCUUGCUAAAAAGAUUUCAGCAACAGCUGUCAGCAGCGAGCAGAGUUCAGGCUCUGGUGUAUCUGCUGUGCCACUGGGACCAUGUACAGAGAAAAUCCUUUGAAACUCCCACUGCAACCUUCUGCUUCCAGACCUGUAUAGGACAGAGAGGGAGUAACAGUGCUCAGGAGCAAGUGGCCAUGAAAUGGCAUCUGGUUGAACUUCCCCGUCCCAGGCUGAGCUGCCAUACAUCAUGUGUUGCUGCCUUUGAUUUAAUGUUUCCCUUUGCAAGCACUCUGUGUUUGAGCAGCAAGGGAUAAAGAUCAGGUUGGAAGCAUUAAUAGAAGAGCUGGGGAACCUUGAAGCCAAGUGCAAAUGCUGUCAUCUUGCAAAUCUUGAGGGUGAAGAGUAGCUCUCCUUUAGUCCGCCUGUGUCACGUCACUGGACAGCCUGGCCUGGGUUUGGCCUGUGAAUGUGUCAUCCUUGGUGCCAGCAGUGAUACAGACACAAGUGUGUCUUCCAAAGCCACCAACACGUGGACCAGCUCAGAGAAAGCACUAACACUUUUGUGAGAGCGAGGACAAUGAGCAGUUUGGUUUCUAAUGUAAAGUAGAGGCCUCAUAUUGCGCAUUAAUAAAUAUUUGGCAGGAAUGAAACUCUAAAGCCGAUGCCUUGGAGAAAAGGGUUUUAAAAGCACGACUGUACUUUCCCUGGGCUGUUCUGAAGAAAAAGCUGUACUGUAAAGAAAACCCCAACUCUUGGCUGUACAAAUACAUGAGCUGUUUUGCUGU
This is a long non-coding RNA of Onychostruthus taczanowskii (white-rumped snowfinch), 1536 nucleotides long. RefSeq lists it as uncharacterized. The transcript has 3 exons. The record is from RefSeq and is a predicted model, not a curated record. NCBI's taxonomy places the organism in Eukaryota, Metazoa, Chordata, Aves, Passeriformes, Passeridae.